CCUACGGGAGGCAGCAGUGAGGAAUAUUGGUCAAUGGACGCAAGUCUGAACCAGCCAAGCAGCGUGCGGGAUGACGGCUCUAUGGGUUGUAAACUGCUUUUGUACGAGGGUAAAACCCGAUACGCGUGUCUGUCUGCAAGUAUCGUACGAAUAAGGAUCGGCUAACUCCGUGCCAGCAGCCGCGGUAAUACGGAGGAUUCGAGCGUUAUCCGGAUUUAUUGGGUUUAAAGGGUGCGUAGGCGGGCGGAUAAGUUAGCGGUGAAAUCCCGCGGCUCAACCGCGGACUUGCAUCUGAUACUGUACGGCUAGAGAGUAGUUGCGGUAGGCGGAAUGCAUGGUGUAGCGGUGAAAUGCAUAGAGAUCA
This 364-nucleotide ribosomal RNA is filed under the name uncultured bacterium. RNAcentral describes it as "partial 16S ribosomal RNA". It matches the Rfam family "Bacterial small subunit ribosomal RNA", at positions 338 to 699 of the family's 1533-position model. The record is from RNAcentral.